Molecule: transfer RNA, 66 nt
Filed under: Ostrea lurida
Lineage: Eukaryota; Metazoa; Mollusca; Bivalvia; Ostreida; Ostreidae
Description: tRNA-Phe
Source: RNAcentral
GGGUUGAGUAGCCUAAAAAAGGUGUGACAUUGAAGCUGUUAAGAUGGUAUUUUAUGCCCCAGCCCA